CACCCUGUUUCUUUUCCUCACCUUUGAUUGGGUGUGGUGCUUGGCCUUAAUUGCACUCACCUGUCACUCGUUAUCUAAGGACUGCACUCACCUAGACCUCACUCUUUCUUCACUCCCACAUGGGGCGGCAGCUGAGCAGGACAUUCACUGAUCGUGACGCUCACUGCCCAGCUCUCAGCCUGUCAUCUCUGCCUACCUUUCCAUACUACCUCAGUUCAUCUCUUCCAGACCUCAGCCUGCUCACCUGCACUGCCACUGGUCCACUCCGUCCCUGCUUCGGUCUCCAUCCUUACAUACCUCGCCCAAGACUGUAGUAAACGUGUGGCAAACAGUUUGUUUCCCGUUCAGCGUGCUUUCUCGUUCCAGUGUUAUGUUUAUCAUUUCGUCCUCACUGUAAAUAAACCUGCUUUCACUGCAACUGUGUCUGUCUGAGUGAUCUGCCACCAGAGCCCACUAGUGUAAUUCCUGACAUCCUGGUACGUUUCUGGAAUGAACUCCUGAUUCAACCGUUUAUUUCCUUCAAUGUGCUUCAAAAAUGCGAGGUUCACCUAACCCGCAGACUCACUGAGUGAGGGGGAUACUAAUGCCGAGUUUUGGCCCAGGUGUGCCAGAGGCCAGUUCGAGUUGCUUCCUUUCAGGUGUUUUCAUUUCUAAAAAAUUUUGGGAUUUCUUUUAAUAUUAGUACAAUGUGUUUAAGUUUAAAAGAGCAUUUGCAUUACAUAUGGUUCACUUUCUCAAGUAUUCUGUUUUAUUGUGAAGAGCUCAUGAUUGUAAGAGGAAGUCAAUGUGGUUGUGAUCAGUAAAUCAGAUAUUGCAUCUGUAUGUAUGAAAUUGUUUUUUCAUAUUGUGAAACGUGCUGCAAAACACAGUAAGGCAGACUAACUGUAUUAUUUAAAGAUUGCAUGAAUAUACUCUGCAGGUUAAUGCAGGAUGAACAGGUUAGUUUGCUGUA
Molecule: long non-coding RNA, 952 nt
Organism: Oreochromis niloticus (Nile tilapia)
Lineage: Eukaryota; Metazoa; Chordata; Actinopteri; Cichliformes; Cichlidae
Exons: 2
Source: RefSeq, a predicted model, not a curated record